RNAcentral lists this long non-coding RNA (507 nucleotides) under Dromaius novaehollandiae (emu). RNAcentral describes it as "lncRNA (ENSDNVG00000009529.1)". The record is from RNAcentral. Lineage: Eukaryota; Metazoa; Chordata; Aves; Casuariiformes; Dromaiidae.
CAGGGACUAUGCCACAGUUUUCUAUUAUAAGAUGCAUUACUUGGCCUUGCUUCUCUAACAUUAUUAUAGAGCCAGAUGAGUGAGCAAUAAAUCCAGAGCAACACACUCCUCCGGUGUGCUGUCAGUGAGGAGCAGGCGAAGCAGUAAACGCGAGAUGUCAGUCACCCUGCGUAGUGUCACUGAGUGCACCGAUACUGCUGCUGGUGUCGUGGGAGAAACCAGAACCUAGACUUAAAAAACCCAUCAAUUUUGGAAACAAGGAACCAGCCUCAUAGCAAGAGAUUAUGUGGAGCAAGUUGCCUGCAAACUGCUGUAUUUCCCACCACUAGCCAUGUCCAUACUGAAUAAUUUUGCUGUGUGAAGGAGAACUCCAAAGGAUGAAGCUGAGUUGGAGGAUUUACCCGACAGAGGCAAUGGGACUUCAGUGUAAGGACCUAAUCCAGCCCAAGCGRAGGGCCACCGACGGGAAUGGCCUCAUGCCUCUCCCAGUGUGCUGAAGCUGCUUGG